GUAGGGAAUAUUGGUUAAUGGGCGAAAGCCUGAACCAGCAACGCCGCGUGCACGAUGACGGCCUUCGGGUUGUAAAGUGCUUUUUGGAGGGAAGAGGAAGGACGGUACCUCCAGAAUAAGUCUCGGCUAACUACGUGCCAGCAGCCGCGGUAACACGUAGGAGACAAGCGUUAUUCGGAUUUACUGGGCGUAAAGCGCGUGCAGGCGGUCUGACAAGUUGGAUGUGAAAGCUCCUGGCUUAACUGGGAGAGGUCGUUCAAAACUAUCAGACUAGAGAGUGGUAGAGGAAGGCGGAAUUCCGGGUGUAGUGGUGAAAUGCGUAGAUAUCCGGAGGAACACCAGUGGCGAAAGCGGCCUUCUGGACCAAUUCUGACGCUCAGACGCGAAAGCUAGGGUAGCGAACGGG
This 406-nucleotide ribosomal RNA is filed under the name uncultured bacterium. RNAcentral's name for it is "bacterial SSU rRNA". It matches the Rfam family "Bacterial small subunit ribosomal RNA", at positions 354 to 776 of the family's 1533-position model. The record is from RNAcentral.